UGUCGCUUUGGUGCCCCUUGCGUCUUCUCUCUUCUGUAGGGCUGUGCGGUGACGGAGUGCGCUGCUGCGUAAAAUGGAGCGGCACAAGAACAGUUCUGUGUUCUUGACAGGUAUUAACGUUAGCGAUGGGCGAGGUCAGGACUUGUCUGAGGAUGAAGAUGAGGGCGUUGGUGUCCUUGUCCCGUUCCGUGUGCCCCCCAUGCCGCGCCCCGUCGUUUCGCAUCGCUAUGUGUCUCUCAACCACCCCUCCGGCAGCCGCAGUAGCGUGUCCCGAACGCUGCUGCACUGGGAAAAGCAGAUGCUUCUCUCACGCCUGCAGAAAAAUCCGUGUGUCGACACAGAGGUCUUUCAAGAGCGUCUUUCACGGAUGAAAAUACGGAACGAUCGUCAUUACAUUCGCCAGGUGUGCGACAGGGUGGCGGAGGCGCGUCAGGCCGAGGCGACGGCGAGGCAGGCGGCCUUUUUUAGCGCAGAGGAACGGCGCGACUUUAUCUUCUACAAGCACCACCAUUUGGUGGAAAUCAAGCGACGGGAGCAGACUCUGACGCGGGCGCGCAAGUGGUCUAUCAUCGUCGUGUGCCACGUCUUUCUUGCGGCUCUCAUGCAGGAACGACGAGUGCAGGAGGCGCUGGACACUUUUAGUUUCUUGUUGGCCCCGAUGAUUCGGCGAUUCCUCGCGCUGCGUGCGCGGCGCCGAGAGGCGGAAGAGCUGACGCGCCGUCAUCUUCGAGACAUUCCCUUCCCCUUUCCACAUGUUAUACAGAGUAUGACCGGCACGUUCUUCGAGGGCUGGCCGCCGGCGCUGCUAGAGAAGUUGGUGGAGAAGUCGAAACCGUGCUACCUGCGCAGAGGAAGAUACCUGAUGCACGAGGGAGACGUGGGCCGCGUUAUGUUCAUGAUCACCUUGGGCACCGUCUCAAUCGUGCUCCGUAAAAAAGGCCGCGAAAAGCGCCGCACAAAGGAGAACUCCAGCGGCGUCCUACAGAUCAAGGCACCUUGCUACGCGGGUGAGUUUGCGCUGGUCUGCAAGGAGCCGCGGUCGGCAUCUAUCAUCUGCGAGACGGACAUCGGCUACUGGGCCGUGUCUCCGGAGGAGUACGAGGAAGUUGCGAAAUACCUCAGUCCGGCGGUUGCCAGCAAGCAACGUGAGGCCACAGAUGUGCGCCGUCGCCAGAACCUCAAGCGCUUUUUUCCGCUGCACGUGGCGUUUCUUCGCAACUUCCCGUACUUUGCACAAUUCAGCGAUAAGAGUCUGACGCAGCUGAUUGACAGCGUCGAGCCGAUUGUCCUGCACGACGGCGACUAUCUCUUCCGCGAAGGCGAAAUCGACUCCUCAACUUACUUUGUACAGGACGGCGAGGCUGUCUUGCGCGACCGCGACGGGGCUGAUCGAAAAGUCUUGAAGGGCAGCUGCAUUGGCGUCUUUGAGUGUUCCUGCGGCGUUAACGAGGCGAAGCGCAGCUCCAUUGUGAGCGUGAACUACUGCGACAUAUGGCGCCUGAGCCGAGAUGUGUUGAUUGAGAUAGGUAUGAGCGAGCCAGCGGCGCUGCUGCACUGCCGCGAUGCAGCCAAGAAGGAUCGGGCGCUGGAGAUGCACAAGGACAAGGUGGCGUUGCAGUGUUUCCGGAAGGACCCAUACAUGUCCUUCUGUUGCCCUCGCUCCACGCUCGCCCACCUUUUCGAGGCAAGCACCCCGACCGUCUUCCUCAACGGUGAGCGCCUCGCCCUCAUGGGAAAGACCUUGAAUGCCCUGUCCGUAGUCAUGAGCGGUGUCCUUGACAUCACCAUGUCACGGAACGAGCAACACAUAACCAUGAGGGUGCACGUCACAGCUAGCUGCGUCAGCGAUGCGGCUUUUCGAAACGCUAGCGCCCCGUUCCGCGGUCUGAGCCGCGUCAUUGGUGCAUAUGAGUUCGCCUCGUCACUUUCUCAGUACGCGUGCACCGUGACGAGUGUUGGGCUGACAGAGGCCUUCGUAAUUGAGCGGGCACAGCUAGACAUGAAGGUCCCUGCCGCCCUCCGCGGCCUGAUGCACGACAGCGCGCGCAGCAGGGAGUGUGUCAGUCGUGCCUACAAACAAGAAAAUGCGGGACUGCUCUACAACGACGAAGCCUUGAGCUUCUCACGGCUCUACAGAGAGCUGCGGACCCUCGAGGGUGAGACGCGCAAGUGAACAUGUAUAUACCCUCCAUCCACGACCCGCACAGUAGUUACAUGUGCGCAAGCGCGAUGGUCCUCCUCGCUAGCGAUAUCUGCUCGUCUUAUUGCGGUCAACCACCGCUUUUGUUGUUGCUUCGCGUGAGUGCCAGUAAAGCGUUCUUUCACUUCUCUUCCUUUAGUGCGCCCUCCCCCUCUUUUGGCUUGUCUCCGCGUUUCCCGAUCUCCCUCAUUGCCCCCCCUCCCCCCCCGGCCCCAACACACGUACGCAUAUUCAUACCGACACCCCUGACGGCUUGCGGCGUAG
Molecule: unclassified non-coding RNA, 2464 nt
Filed under: Leishmania donovani
Lineage: Eukaryota; Euglenozoa; Kinetoplastea; Trypanosomatida; Trypanosomatidae
Description: gene:LdHU3.32.5290(CDS-product:cAMP_response_prot ein_1_putative)
Source: RNAcentral